RNAcentral lists this ribosomal RNA (404 nucleotides) under Actinomycetes bacterium. RNAcentral describes it as "Actinobacteria bacterium partial 16S ribosomal RNA". It matches the Rfam family "Bacterial small subunit ribosomal RNA", at positions 355 to 776 of the family's 1533-position model. The record is from RNAcentral. Lineage: Bacteria; Bacillati; Actinomycetota; Actinomycetes.
UGGGGAAUAUUGGACAAUGUGCGCAAGCCUGAUCCAGCCAUGUCGCGUGAGUGAUGAAGGCCCUAGGGUUGUAAAGCCCUUUCACCGGUGAAGAUAAUGACGGUAACCGGAGAAGAAGCCCCGGCUAACUUCGUGCCAGCAGCCGCGGCAAUACGAAGGGGGCUAGCGUUGUUCGGAUUUACUGGGCGUAAAGCGCACGUAGGCGGACUAUUAAGUCAGGGGUGAAAUCCCGGGGCUCAACCCCGGAACUGCCUUUGAUACUGGUAGUCUUGAGUUCGAGAGAGGUGAGGGGUAUUCCGAGUGUAGAGGUGAAAUUCGUAGAUAUUCGGAGGAACACCGGUGGCGAAGGCGGCUCACUGGCUCGAUACUGACGCUGAGGUGCGAGAGCGUGGGGAGCAAACAGG